Molecule: ribosomal RNA, 419 nt
Filed under: uncultured bacterium
Lineage: Bacteria
Description: bacterial SSU rRNA
Rfam family: Bacterial small subunit ribosomal RNA
Source: RNAcentral
GGAAUAUUGGUCAAUGGACGAAAGUCUGAACCAGCCAUGCCGCGUGAAGGAUGACGGCCCUCUGGGUUGUAAACUUCUUUUAUCUGGGACGAAAAAAGGUCAUUCUUGAUCACUUGACGGUACCAGAGGAAUAAGCACCGGCUAACUCCGUGCCAGCAGCCGCGGUGACACGUAGGCACCAAGCGUUGUCCGGAUUUAUUGGGCGUAAAGAGCUCGUAGGCGGUUCGGUAAGUCGGGUGUGAAAACUCUGGGCUCAACCCAGAGCCGCCACCCGAUACUGCUGUGACUAGAGUGCGGUAGGGGAGCGGGGAAUUCCUGGUGUAGCGGUGAAAUGCGCAGAUAUCAGGAGGAACACCAGUGGCGAAGGUGCCGCUCUGGGCCGUGACUGACGCUGAGGAGCGAAAGCGUGGGUAGCAAAC